Molecule: unclassified non-coding RNA, 156 nt
Filed under: uncultured Scleropezicula
Lineage: Eukaryota; Fungi; Ascomycota; Leotiomycetes; Helotiales; Dermateaceae
Description: sequence contains ITS1
Source: RNAcentral
CAGAGAUCAUGCCCUCACGGGUAGACCUCCCACCCUGUGUUAUUUACUCUUGUUGCUUUGGCAGGCCGCCUUCGGGCUCUCGGCUCCGGCUGAGGUGCGCCUGCCAGAGGACCCCAACUCUGUGUUUAGUGUCGUCUGAGUACUAUACAAUAGUUA